GGUGCCAUGGUCAAGUGGUCAAGACACUGCCCUUUCACGGCAGUAGCACGGGUUCGAAUCCCGUUGGCAUCACCA
RNAcentral lists this transfer RNA (75 nucleotides) under Flavonifractor sp. An82. RNAcentral describes it as "tRNA-Glu". It matches the Rfam family "tRNA". Rfam says of the family: Transfer RNA (tRNA) molecules are approximately 80 nucleotides in length. Their secondary structure includes four short double-helical elements and three loops (D, anti-codon, and T loops). Further hydrogen bonds mediate the characteristic L-shaped molecular structure. tRNAs have two regions of fundamental functional importance: the anti-codon, which is responsible for specific mRNA codon recognition, and the 3' end, to which the tRNAs corresponding amino acid is attached (by aminoacyl-tRNA synthetases). tRNAs cope with the degeneracy of the genetic code in two manners: having more than one tRNA (with a specific anti-codon) for a particular amino acid; and 'wobble' base-pairing, i.e. permitting non-standard base-pairing at the 3rd anti-codon position. The record is from RNAcentral. Lineage: Bacteria; Bacillati; Bacillota; Clostridia; Eubacteriales; Oscillospiraceae.